CACCUCGUGGAAAAAGAGGAUGGAAAGCAUUUUAUGCUGUUCUUAAGGGACUCAUCCUUUACCUGCAGAAAGGCGAGUAUCGGCCGGAUAAACCGUUAUCAGAUGAGGAUUUGAAGAAUGCGGUGUCUAUUCAUCAUUCGCUGGCCAUCAGAGCCACAGACUACAGCAAACGUCCGAACGUGUUUUACCUCCGGACCGCGGACUGGAGAGUCUACCUCUUUCAGGCCCCGAAUGCUGAACAAAUGCAGUCUUGG
This is a long non-coding RNA of Carassius auratus (goldfish), 254 nucleotides long. RefSeq lists it as uncharacterized. The record is from RefSeq and is a predicted model, not a curated record. The transcript has 3 exons. Lineage: Eukaryota; Metazoa; Chordata; Actinopteri; Cypriniformes; Cyprinidae.